RNAcentral lists this ribosomal RNA (253 nucleotides) under uncultured bacterium. RNAcentral describes it as "partial 16S ribosomal RNA". It matches the Rfam family "Bacterial small subunit ribosomal RNA", at positions 524 to 776 of the family's 1533-position model. The record is from RNAcentral.
UACGUAGGGGGCGAGCGUUGUCCGGAAUUAUUGGGCGUAAAGAGCGUGUAGGCUGUUCGGUAAGUCUGCCGUGAAAACCUGAGGCUCAACCUCGGGCGUGCGGUGGAUACUGCCGGGCUAGAGGACGGUAGAGGCGAGUGGAAUUCCUGGUGUAGCGGUGAAAUGCGCAGAUAUCAGGAGGAACACCAAUGGCGAAGGCAGCUCGCUGGGACGGUACUGACGCUGAGACGCGAAAGCGUGGGGAGCAAACAGG